CUCCAGAAUGUGCUUCGGAGACCGCAUAAUAUGUCCGAAGAAGCUUAGGGCACGAUUCCGGCAUAUUGAGGAGAGCCGCGUCGUGAUCUUGAGCUCUUUUAAUAUGGACUCAUUCGUACACGUAAAAAGCCUUAAAUUACCAAGUAGAGAAAGUCCGGCAUGAGGUGAGCACGAAGUUUUGAAGACAGGAGUGAUUGUAUUAGAUUUCCUCCUGAGCAGUUGCACUACAAAUUUAGUGAUGAAGAGGCAAUACUUGACAGAAACCUUAAGUGGGAUGACAUAAUUAUAAAGAAAAUCAAUAAGAGGAUGAACUCUUUUAAUGUUUAUAAAACAAUAGUAUGGAAGAAUUUUGAUGCAUCUUGGAGCAAUGGCAACAUAUUUGGGAGUUGUGAGUGACAACGAGCAGAUUACAUAACAAUGGGAGGAUAACAAGGGCCUUAACUGAAAAAACUGGUGAAUGUUCCCAAAUAAACCUCACAGAUGUAGAAGAAACACAAAAUAAAUUUGUUUAUUUAUUUUAUUUCUGUUCCCUACUAAACUAGUAAUAAAACAUACUUUUUACAAAUA
Molecule: long non-coding RNA, 567 nt
Filed under: Pectinophora gossypiella (pink bollworm)
Lineage: Eukaryota; Metazoa; Arthropoda; Insecta; Lepidoptera; Gelechiidae
Description: uncharacterized LOC126380669
Source: RNAcentral